RNAcentral lists this transfer RNA (73 nucleotides) under Felis catus (domestic cat). It matches the Rfam family "tRNA". From Rfam's summary of the family: Transfer RNA (tRNA) molecules are approximately 80 nucleotides in length. RNAcentral also lists the same sequence under 2 other names. The record is from Rfam by way of RNAcentral. Lineage: Eukaryota; Metazoa; Chordata; Mammalia; Carnivora; Felidae.
GCCUAGCUGGCUUAGUGGGUAUAGCAUGUGACUCUUGAUCUCAGGGUUGUGAGUUCAAACCCCAUAUUAGGCA